AUUGAACGCUGGCGGCAGGCCUAACACACGCAAGUCGAGCGGAUGAAGGGAGCUUGCUCCUGGAUUCAGCGGCGGACGGGUGAGUAAUGCCUAGGAAUCUGCCUGGUAGUGGGGGAUAACGUCCGGAAACGGGCGCUAAUACCGCAUACGUCCUGAGGGAGAAAGUGGGGGAUCUUCGGACCUCACGCUAUCAGGUGAGCCUAGGUCGGAUUAGCUAGUUGGUGGGGUAAAGGCCUACCAAGGCGACGAUCCGUAACUGGUCUGAGAGGAUGAUCAGUCACACUGGAACUGAGACACGGUCCAGACUCCUACGGGAGGCAGCAGUGGGGAAUAUUGGACAAUGGGCGAAAGCCUGAUCCAGCCAUGCCGCGUGUGUGAAGAAGGUCUUCGGAUUGUAAAGCACUUUAAGUUGGGAGGAAGGGCAGUAAGUUAAUACCUUGCUGUUUUGACGUUACCAACAGAAUAAGCACCGGCUAACUUCGUG
RNAcentral lists this ribosomal RNA (484 nucleotides) under uncultured bacterium. RNAcentral describes it as "partial 16S ribosomal RNA". It matches the Rfam family "Bacterial small subunit ribosomal RNA", at positions 30 to 507 of the family's 1533-position model. The record is from RNAcentral.